This 253-nucleotide ribosomal RNA is filed under the name uncultured bacterium. RNAcentral describes it as "partial 16S ribosomal RNA". It matches the Rfam family "Bacterial small subunit ribosomal RNA", at positions 524 to 776 of the family's 1533-position model. The record is from RNAcentral.
UACGGAGGAUCCGAGCGUUAUCCGGAUUUAUUGGGUUUAAAGGGAGCGUAGGCGGGUUGUUAAGUCAGUUGUGAAAGUUUGCGGCUCAACCGUAAAAUUGCAGUUGAUACUGGCAUCCUUGAGUACAGUAGAGGUAGGUGGAAUUCGUGGUGUAGCGGUGAAAUGCUUAGAUAUCGCGAAGAACUCCGAUUGCGAAGGCAGCCUGCUGGACUGUAACUGACGCUGAUGCUCGAAAGUGUGGGUAUCAAACAGG